Molecule: ribosomal RNA, 425 nt
Filed under: uncultured bacterium
Lineage: Bacteria
Description: bacterial SSU rRNA
Rfam family: Bacterial small subunit ribosomal RNA
Source: RNAcentral
UAGGGAAUCUUGCGCAAUGGGCGAAAGCCUGACGCAGCAACGCCGCGUGCGGGAUGAAGGCCUUCGGGUUGUAAACCGCUUUCAGAAGGAACGAAAAUGACGGUACUUUCAGAAGAAGGUGCGGCCAACUACGUGCCAGCAGCCGCGGUGACACGUAGGCACCAAGCGUUGUCCGGAUUUAUUGGGCGUAAAGAGCUCGUAGGCGGUUCAGUAAGUCGGGUGUGAAAACUCUGGGCUCAACCCGGAGACGCCACCCGAUACUGCUGUGACUUGAGUUCGGUAGGGGAGUGGGGAAUUUCUAGUGUAGCGGUGAAAUGCGCAGAUAUUAGAAGGAACACCGGUGGCGAAGGCGCCACUCUGGGCCGAAACUGACGCUGAGGAGCGAAAGCGUGGGUAGCAAACAGGAUUAGAUACCCGCGUAGUCC